Pelobates cultripes (western spadefoot toad) is the source of this 221-nucleotide non-coding RNA. The record is from the annotation of a GenBank genome assembly. Lineage: Eukaryota; Metazoa; Chordata; Amphibia; Anura; Pelobatidae.
CUCACAGUCACACACAUGCUUACUACAGACAAGCUCACGGCAAACACAUGCUCACCCCAGACAAGCUCAGACACACUCAUGCUCUCUACAGACACGCUCUUUAACACGCACACAUGAUCCCUACAGACAAGCUCACUGACACACAUACAAGCUCACUCACUAGCAAACAAACAAAGUUCACUCACUAGCAGGCACACACACACACACACACACAAGCUCAC